Molecule: ribosomal RNA, 708 nt
Filed under: Lysinibacillus pakistanensis
Lineage: Bacteria; Bacillati; Bacillota; Bacilli; Caryophanales; Bacillaceae
Description: bacterial SSU rRNA
Rfam family: Bacterial small subunit ribosomal RNA
Source: RNAcentral
UAUACUGCAAGUCGAGCGAACAGAGAAGGAGCUUGCUCCUUUGACGUUAGCGGCGGACGGGUGAGUAACACGUGGGCAACCUACCUUAUAGUUUGGGAUAACUCCGGGAAACCGGGGCUAAUACCGAAUAAUCUAUUUUACUUCAUGGUGAAAUACUGAAAGACGGUUUCGGCUGUCGCUAUAAGAUGGGCCCGCGGCGCAUUAGCUAGUUGGUGAGGUAACGGCUCACCAAGGCGACGAUGCGUAGCCGACCUGAGAGGGUGAUCGGCCACACUGGGACUGAGACACGGCCCAGACUCCUACGGGAGGCAGCAGUAGGGAAUCUUCCACAAUGGGCGAAAGCCUGAUGGAGCAACGCCGCGUGAGUGAAGAAGGUUUUCGGAUCGUAAAACUCUGUUGUAAGGGAAGAACAAGUACAGUAGUAACUGGCUGUACCUUGACGGUACCUUAUUAGAAAGCCACGGCUAACUACGUGCCAGCAGCCGCGGUAAUACGUAGGUGGCAAGCGUUGUCCGGAAUUAUUGGGCGUAAAGCGCGCGCAGGCGGUCCUUUAAGUCUGAUGUGAAAGCCCACGGCUCAACCGUGGAGGGUCAUUGGAAACUGGGGGACUUGAGUGCAGAAGAGGAAAGUGGAAUUCCAAGUGUAGCGGUGAAAUGCCUAAAGAUUUGGAAGAACACCAAUGGCGAAGGCGACUUUCUGGACUGGAAG